GGAUGUGAGGGAAAUAUGGCUAUGAUAUCUAUCACCCCACUGAUCACCAGGGUUGAUUCAGCUGAUCUGGGUAUCCCCUUCCUCCCUCAGCGCUCCAUGUGCAUCCCUCCCAAAGCUGCAUGCUUGGUCGAAGAGGUCGGCCUUCCCAAAUAGAGAUGGACCAGUCUUUGGUCUAGGGUAUACACGUAGCUAUGCUUCCCUGCUAAAACCUUCAAACCAGCUCUGAAGGUCCAUUUGUAGGAGAAUGUAGGGUAGUCAAGCUCCCAAGACUCCAGACACAUCCAAAUGAGGCACUGCAUGUGGCAGUCUGCCUUUCUUU
Unclassified non-coding RNA from Erinaceus europaeus (western European hedgehog), 319 nucleotides. Its record names the gene 7SK. It matches the Rfam family "7SK RNA". Rfam says of the family: 7SK was discovered as an abundant small nuclear RNA in the mid-70s but a possible function has only recently been suggested. Two independent studies have found that 7SK RNA binds the CDK9/cyclin T complex (known as elongation factor P-TEFb). The record is from Ensembl. Lineage: Eukaryota; Metazoa; Chordata; Mammalia; Eulipotyphla; Erinaceidae.